AUUGAACGCUGGCGGCAGGCUUAACACAUGCAAGUCGAGCGGGGUGAUGGUGCUUGCACUAUCACUUAGCGGCGGACGGGUGAGUAAUGCUUAGGAAUCUGCCUAUUAGGGGGGGACAACAUCUCGAAAGGGAUGCUAAUACCGCAUACGUCCUACGGGAGAAAGCAGGGGAUCACUUGUGACCUUGCGCUAAUAGAUGAGCCUAAGUCGGAUUAGCUAGUUGGUGGGGUAAAGGCCUACCAAGGCGACGAUCUGUAGCGGGUCUGAUGGGAUGAUCCGCCACACUGGGACUGGGACACGGCCCAGACGCCUACGGGAGGCAGCAGUGGGGAAUAUUGGACAAUGGGGGGAACCCUGAUCCAGCCAUGCCGCGUGUGUGAAGAAGGCCUUAUGGUUGUAAAGCACUUUAAGCGAGGAGGAGGCUCUUUUGGUUAAUACCCAAGAUGAGUGGACGUUACUCGCAGAAUAAGCACCGGCUAACUCUGUGCCAGCCGCCGCGGUAA
This 503-nucleotide ribosomal RNA is filed under the name uncultured bacterium. RNAcentral describes it as "partial 16S ribosomal RNA". It matches the Rfam family "Bacterial small subunit ribosomal RNA", at positions 30 to 523 of the family's 1533-position model. The record is from RNAcentral.